Molecule: ribosomal RNA, 517 nt
Filed under: uncultured Bacteroidota bacterium
Lineage: Bacteria; Pseudomonadati; Bacteroidota
Description: bacterial SSU rRNA
Rfam family: Bacterial small subunit ribosomal RNA
Source: RNAcentral
UUUGAUCCUGGCUCAGGAUGAACGCUAGCGGCAGGCUUAACACAUGCAAGUCGAGGGGUAACAGGGAUUGCUUGCAAUCCGCUGACGACCGGCGCACGGGUGCGUAACGCGUAUGCAACCUACCUUCUACAGGGGAAUAGUCAAUAGAAAUGUUGAAUAAUACCCCAUACGAUCUUUGAAUAGCAUUAUUUAGAGAAGAAAGUUCCGGCGGUAGAAGAUGGGCAUGCGUCCUAUUAGUUAGUUGGAGAGGUAACGGCUCCCCAAGACAUCGAUAGGUAGGGGUCCUGAGAGGGAGACCCCCCACACUGGUACUGAGACACGGACCAGACUCCUACGGGAGGCAGCAGUGAGGAAUAUUGGACAAUGGAGGCAACUCUGAUCCAGCCAUGCCGCGUGCAGGAAGACUGCCCUAUGGGUUGUAAACUGCUUUUAUACAGGAAGAAAUGUACCUACGUGUAGGUAUUUGACGGUACUGUACGAAUAAGGAUCGGCUAACUCCGUGCCAGCAGCCGCGGUA